Molecule: long non-coding RNA, 7138 nt
Organism: Gallus gallus (chicken)
Lineage: Eukaryota; Metazoa; Chordata; Aves; Galliformes; Phasianidae
Source: Ensembl
CAAAACCUCGGAGGUCUCUCAGAAGUCCCCGCGGCCACUUCCCCCAGCUCUUAUCAGCACGCCGUUAAUGUUUGGCAUCGCAAUAGCAGUUGGCACCUCCAGUUCCAAGUGCAAGGUGCGUGUCUUUGACCUUGUUUUCUGUGCCCCGUGCGGCGGCGUGGUGCAGAGUGCAGGCGGAGGUGUAAAGGCGCUGGUUCUGGGGUGCAGCUCUGCCCUACGUGUGGUGGGGAGAUGCUGUGGGAGAAGAGGACUCCGUGAAGAAUGGACUGUUGGUCUUAUUGAUAGGCUUCAACAGCAUCGGUAUGAAUCAGCUCCCGGUGUGUGAAUUCCAGCCAGGAUCUGCUUGGCCGCAAACUAAACCAAGCGAAUAGUGCUGGUAAACUUUGUCCUUCCACAAACCAUUAAAGCAACGUGACCGAGUUGGCAGUUAAAGGAGGAGCCUGGCCCUGGGAGAAACUGAGUGGCAGCGCAAGAUCAGCAGGCAGGUGGUGUCCUGGGAGCCGCAGGGUGCAGGUGACAUUGGAAAUGGUGGCAUGUUGGAGCGGGAGACUCAUGGAAGUCAUCUUCAAGGGGCUGCUGUUUUCUGAGGCACGAGGGAUUCUGCUGAGGAGGGGAUGUGACCCAACACGUGUGCACUUACUGACCAUCACCUAGAGCGCUGGGCCGCUGCCCUGCCUGAUGUGACCUGCGGGACACAGACAUGCAAUGGUGCAGAAUGACGGUGCUGCUUGCUUUGUCGUCGUGAUUGAGCCUUGCUAUGGACUUAUUUAUGGUGGGAAAAUUAUAUUUGAGAAUUGUUUUACCAACCUCUGACAGGCAGCCGCUGCUGGGGUGGGAACCGUGAGGGGUCCGUAGGUUUCCCUAUCCCUUGCAGGUGCUGUGAUCCCAAAUAUCUUUCAUCAGUGCCCUGGUGAUGGGAUUAGCGUGCAUUAAGAGUUUCUCUUCUCAUCUCUCCCAGGGAGGAUCAAAUGCAGUGAAAUAUCCCAUUUUGCUGGUUGCUUUUUGAAAAACGUGUGGUAUGUGUUCGUGUUAGGAACGCAAGGUCAAAGGAACAGGAGCACAGGACACGGGGCUGCAUAAACCCUUUCAGGACAUUGGGUUUGAUCCAUGCGUUGUAGUCCUGUUUGCAAAACUGUUUUAAAAGUAGUGCGUUUGUUUACCCUCAACUACAAAGCGUGCUACAAAGGCUCCUCCUGAAUCACCAGUGCUUUCUGGGAAGAAACGUGGAAGGAAAGCUGGGGGUUGUGAUCCCUUGUCCCUUAGCAAAAGACCAGCACUUGUACCAACACCCUGGGAGCACCAUGUCCUGCACCUGUGAGCAUUCUCCUCUCUGGGGAAGUUUCCUCUCUCCCCAAGGAACACAGAACUGUUGGUGAGGUUUAUCCCAUUGCUUUACGUUGGCUGGUUAGGUCUGGAGAACGUGGCUUCGAGUUUGGAAGUUGUUUUGGCACGAAUCAGCACUGAGCGGAGACCAACGCUGUAGGAGAUUGCAUUAAGGGAUGGGUAAUGAAGGAUGCUGAGGAAACUGCAUCCAGCUGAAAUAAGGUAUGGGGGCAGGUGAGUUUAAACACCAAAAGCCACUUAGGCUGCAUGAAUAUAUGAAGCACGUGGACACUGAAGCAGAUGGGACACUUCAGCAGUGACUACCAAGUCACCCAGGUCGCUCACCUGCCCUGUGGCUUGAAGCAGGUCCCAAAUGGUGCAAACAGCAGGGCCACAAACCCUCUAAGGAAACAGACUGACAAAAACAGGGGUUAUUUCACAAGCAGCAGGGAGAAAUUAGUGGUAGCGCUGCUUGUUUGCUGCAGCAGACUGCUAAGAGACAAGCUACUUGUUCUUUUUCAAAGGCCUUGGGGAAAAAAAGGGCCAUCAUUUCCAGGCAGGAAUUCUUCUGAGGAGAGUAUUUUUGUGCCUGGCUAAGAAGAGAUGAAAAGGUCAAAGAAAAUUAAAUUCACAUGCUCAGAACAUUUCAGGGCAGGUGUUUUUCCUAAGCCAGAUUUCAGGCUUGGGAGGGCGUACCCAGGAUUUAUGCCCCUCCUAAAGUUUCACCUGCUGCACUAGCACUGGAGGGCGAAGGAUUUCACAGCCCUGGCAGCCUGACUUCUCUGGACCGGACUCAAUGACUUUGCUUCGAGCUCAUUGCAAUUUGUACAGCUCGAACGAAGGCUCAGACAAGCGCUCCGGUCUGGCUGCUCAUCACUGCAUUUCACUUGGCAUGUAGGCAACGGAUGAGGAAUGCACAGAAUUUCCUUUUCCACCCCGUCAGAUCCUCUGUCUUGAGCCUGGCCCAGCCCCAAGAGCACAACGGAUGCAGCUGGAGAAGGGCAGGUCCAAUCUUGCUGCUCAGCUCCAGUGACACUUAACCUCCUCUGCUGCUGAGCUGCUUGCAGCUGGAGGUGGAUGUUAAUGAGCAUCAGCCUACUGAAAUGGCUCAUCAGGGAAGGAAGGGGAGUUGAUUUCUUUGACUAGAGAAUACAAUAGAAGCUGGAGCUCUUGUGGGAGAAGAUAACCCUCAAUCUCAAAGAAGGUGGUCUUUGGUUUUGCAGCUCAGUUUUUCUCUUGCUGUCGAUCUGCUUGAGAAGGGAUUGGUGUCCUGCUACUUGUCUCCAGCAGCUGCCUCGUAUCUGCUACCUUAUGGAUGCCUUCCAACUCGGGAUAUCCUAUGAGUCUUCCUUCAUUGUCCUUCUACUGAACCUGGGACCUCCACAGUGAGCAGCUAAAGGUAUUCUGGGUCUACACCGGUGAGAAGAGAGAAGCUCUCUGCGAGGCCUGGAAGUAUGACACAUGCUUAUGAGCAGACUCUAGGCACAUACAAUGUACUCAUUAAAUGCCACGGGGACUGCUGUGCCAGCAGGAGGGAUUCUAGCCCCAAAAAGCACUGCGAGAGCUGCGUGACCCCUCACCCCCAGGCAGAAGUGGGGGAGGACACCUCCAUCUUGUAAUCUGCAUCUGUCAAAAGAAGUGCUCUCCUCAUUUUUUGCCAGUUUGGGAAGGGUUAACGAGGGAAGCACAGCCCCCAGGGGCCAGCACUGUUGUUCCAUGCAGAUUGGCUUGUUCUUGUUUCUUCCAUCGAUCGCAAUCACUCAGAGCUGUGCCUGUAACAAACUGCCUUAAAUCAUUGCAAUCAUAAUAAGCACACCUUGGUAAAUAAUGCAUGAGGUGUCCGUAAGCCUAUAUUCAUUAGGAGGAAGGCGCAUAUAGAGCACGGUAAUCAUCUGGGCUCAAGGAGGGGCUUGGAUGGUGGGGCUGAGCCGGGUUUGGGGGCAAGGCUCUCCAGCCCCUCAGAUGUUGGAAACGUAGGCGGGUUCCUUGUCACCUUCAUGAAUUUUGUACGAGAUGUUUAAAAUGCCUGUAAGGUUUGCAUUGUAAUCCAGGUUGGGUAGAAGUGGGCUUGUGGCGAGUCUCCAAGUGGUAUAAUAGCAAGGCAUCACAAUUAAUCGUGUUUAAUAUGUUUUAAUGACUCAAAGCACGUGGUGUGUAACAAGUUUUGCUGUGAGAGCCUCGUAGCCAAGUUAAUGGUCUGGAUAUUAGGAGCCACUGUUUUAAAGCACAAAUUAAAAAUGCUUUGUUUUCCCUUUGUCUUGAGGAGCAGAAUGGUGUUGCAGCAUGGAGCUCCUUUAGGGCAGCUCCAUUGGGCGUUAGUGCCAUCCUGGUGCCGUGGCCUUCACUGCGAGGUUUUCAGGGCAGACUGCAAGGGAAAUUAGGCAGAAAUUUCCACCUUUCUUUUUUUAUUAUUAUUUUUUUUGUGUGUGUGAAAUGACAGCGAUAAGGACAGUUUUCUUUUGUAUGGUUAGAAGGGAUGGAGCCGUGGCAGAAGCAUUCCUGCUUGUAUCAGACAGCUGUGGAUGGCAAUGGGUCAUUUCACUCCAUUAUGGUUUCUGGCAAGUGAGUAUUAAAGGGUGUGUGAGGGCAUCGUUUCUCAGCGAUGACUUCAUUUGGCUGUCUAAACAAACAGCCGUUCCUCACCAGGUGCAAAGGGCCUUCUAUUUGUUUUUGAACUCUGUGAAGGGGGAAAAAAAAAUACCUAAAGGGAAAAUAGCAGAUCCUGCCUGUUUGACAGCCAUGGUGGUCUCUGCCUUCUUGGGAAACAGCAGCGAUGAGCGCUGCGGGGACAACUCGCUCCUUGUUCAGCCCCAGUGGAUGUCUUCAUCGCCAUGGUAAGUCUGUUUGAGAGCCUCCAAACCACAGACCUCCUGGUCAUGCUGGUUGGCUCAGGGUUGUCUAUAUCCAACAACCCAAUCCCUAGACGUGCUCAAAGCCAAGUUGGAUGGCACCCUGGGCAGCCUGAUCUGGCGUGGGGCAACCAUCCCAUGGCAGCUGGUUGGAGCUGGGUGAGCUUUUAAGGUCCCUUCCAAGCCAUUCUAUGGAAAUUCGGAAGUACUGGUGGGUCUGCUGUUCCUGGAAGGAGACAUUAUCUUUGAGAGCUCCCAGGGAUCCCAUCUCUGCUUGUAACCAAACCAGAACAUUUCUUCUUUAUACACACAAACCAUUUACAUGUACUUCAGAGCCCUAAGUAGACCACAUUUUAGAUAAAUUUAAAAACUCUGCUCUCCUGUUGGCAGACACUUGCUAAACUUUCACAAACUGCUAUGCCUUCAUCUCUGAAGCUGUGUUUUUGUCCGUGAUGUUCUUCCUGGAAGACGGUUGCAGAAACUCACAGCUGGUGGUUACCGUUAAACAUAAGGAGGAACAGUCAAAACUUCUCCCCUCUAAAAACAUAUAUCUGAGUGCCAAGCUCUGCCUUAUCUCCAGGAACAGUCUGAGGAGCUUGAGAUGAUUUUUGGGUCCUGGGUUCUCUCCAAAAUCAAUUCUUUGUGCUUCCUUCCAGGGUAAUUAAAGAAAUAAAUCCCCCAGCAGCUCAGCUCCAUGCAGAGCAGAGCCCCUGCUGAACUAAAGUGAUGAUCCCGUCUAUUCUGCAGUGUUGUUAAACUAUUUUUUUUCUUUCCCCUGCAGUUCUAGCUGCAUCAUCUGUCACAGAGAGAAGCAAAAUGACAAAGAGAGAUAAGAUCAGUACGUUUUAAGCUGGAGAAGAAAGACCAUUCAACCCAAGCAGAAGCAGAUAAAUAGGGAAUCAUUACCUUCACUGCCUUCAUCUUCACACCAAGCUUGCCACUUGCCUGGGCAACGUCACAAGAGAUGUGGCAACGUGAAACCACAGGUCCUGUCCCCAUUCCCUGGAAGCGGAACCCCUGUGCAGAGAUCCUGAGUCAAUGUCUCAAAAGCCGUCGAUGACAUCAAGUUGAUUGGUUUUGCUGCAGCCCUUGAAAGCAGUGGUGGGGAAUCGAUGCAGCCAUCCUCCGCCCAGGACCUGCUUUUAGGAGGACAAAGUGAGCCUUAUUCAUGGGCACGACAAAGGGUCCAGCGCUGCUUUGAUGUGGUGACCGUCCAAUGGCCCCUUCACCUGUUUCUUCCCUUUGGAGGAACGCUGCAAUGCAUUUUCAUCCGUCUCUUUGGCCAGAUUCUUCCUAGAAAUCGCUGCUAUUCAGCAAGAAGUGAAGGUUUCCUUUUUGAAAUCUUUAAUGAAACGACUACAAAUAAUAGUCUACCUUCCACCCAAGAAGGGCAGAAUUAUUCCUUCUCCCGCCUAUACAGAUGGAAGGAAUGCUUAUGUAUGGAUUGUGUUUUCCUACAGCCAGGCUGGAUGACAAUCUGGUUGACUUCUAGGACGCAGCUUCUCGAAGAUGCUGCUCCUUCAGCAGCUGCAGUGCCCACGCUGGUGGGAUGUCUGGCACGUGGGACUGCAGAGUAAAUGCUUAAUGAGGAGGUUGCUCACAAAGGCAGUGGUACAAGGUGGUCCAUUAGAGGCUUCAGGCCUAACUCGGUUGAUCUUGAAAUACAAACAUAAUACUUUCAGGCUUAAAUAGCAGACUGAUCACAGCAGUCCCCGCUAGAAUCUCUACGUGUCUAAGGCACUGGACAUAAAUUAGUAUCAUCAGUUCAAACACCUUGAAAAUUGGAAAUAAAUUAUGCCAGACACUGGAGACAGAUGGCAUCCAUACACCAGGCAGAGCCAGAAAGCCCAGCGCUUCGGACAUCUGUAGAUGAAUUCCCUGAAGCACCUGGAGCUGCAGAGAGGAGAGGAGAAAGUGAUCUGUGCCUGAGAAUGGAUGGGUUUCUUUGGAAGUAUCACUUCAGCUUCAUCCGAGCAGCAAAGAGAGAAACUCGUUCACUAACCCACUGUUCUGCUGUGUCCUCCUAUAGGGAUAUAAAUACGGCUGAAAAAUGUCUGCAUUGUUUAUUACUUUGAAGUCAAACGUGCACCGGCUAUUUUCAGAAACAUGGGAGAAGUAAUGCCUUCUGGCUGGCUUUGAGUUGCCAGGUCGUCUGAAUAAUUUCCCUUUCCCUGUCCCUCUGCUUUUAUAUACACAUGGAAAGGCAGACACGGAUAUUUUAAUGUAUGUAUUAAAACUAGACCAAAAGUUAGCAUGCUGUUUGGAGAUGUGUGGCAUAGAAAUAAAUCGCAGAGGAGAGCAAGGAAGGAAUGUGUGCUGCUCCCUGGCAGCCUCGGCUCGUUUGGGGCUGCACAGCAGAGCAAGGCACAGCUCCUGCCCCACAGCCUCCGUACGAAUAUAUCGAGCUCUUUUGUUUCCCACGUGUAGGGUCACCGUUAUGUGCUUUCUCACCUAUGUGACUGCAUCAAACAAACAAGAAAUGCCCUUCAAAAGCCGAUCCAGGUCUAACCAGUCAGUGAGAUACGGGACUUGGCAGGUAGCAGAAGGCUUCAGGACCGAUCCCCAGCCUGAUGGCACCAAGAGCAAAUGAGAUCUGCAAGACAGCACCCCACAGUUCCCAAAGCUCAGAAAACAGGAAGGGACGUGAGACAAAGCUGAUGGCAUAGCUCAAACACCGGCAGAACAGCUAUGCACGGAGUUCCCUAAGAACACAGCCUGCUUGUAAGGGUCAUUAUUGUUAUCCAUGGCUUUCCAGCCAUACAAUGGAUAGACAACUACAUGGCAACUCUACACAGCCUCCAGAGGGUUCUGCGUGCACCAAUAGAGAGACAGAGCUCUAACAAGGAGAAUGGCAGUGCUUGAGGUUGUCUUAAUUGACUGCUAAUGGGUCCCAACCGGGAGACAGGCUCAGCUGGGUGCCAUUUGCUCUAAUUGAUAAGAAGCCCUGAUUGGGUCCUUGGAGGGUG